This is a long non-coding RNA of Danio aesculapii, 572 nucleotides long. RefSeq lists it as uncharacterized. The record is from RefSeq and is a predicted model, not a curated record. NCBI's taxonomy places the organism in Eukaryota, Metazoa, Chordata, Actinopteri, Cypriniformes, Danionidae. The transcript has 2 exons.
GGCGAUGUGAAAGCAGAGGUCCUACAAUCUCAUCUUUAACGGCGUAAAACAGUAAAUUAUCGACUCGUUCUGUAGCACCUUCACUUUGUGAACUGCAGAAGGGUAUAUGAUAAUCCGGAUUGACAGCGGAUGGGUUUUAAUAACGCUUAUAGACGGUGCCGAAGUCUCGCUCGUGACGAUCUUUGCAAGUGCGUCAAUGAAGAAAAACCACAUGUGUAAGAGUCGUAUGAAGCAGCAUCAUAAUUAUUCAGCAACAUCCAGUACUGGCUGAAAUUCCUGCCCUUCUCAUCGCGGGAGGAUUCAUUGUGCACCAACGGCCCUGAGACUGUAGCUAAAAGACCAGCUUCAUUCAACCUCCUGGUAUCUGAACGUGUAGAAAGGACCUUUUAUAAUAGUUUUCUUUACUAUUGAUUAGUAAGCAAUCAGCAUUAUUCUUUACAUCCUAUUGUGAACCUUUAUUUCAUUAUUAUUUGCGCAGGCCUACGCUUUUUUGAUGUAUGUUUUUGUUUCAUUUAAAUAAUAUUGUUAUUUGAGGAUUAAUAUAUCCUAUUUGAGUAAACACCUACAAUUUA